CUUCUUCCAUGAGUCCCGUUCACCACACCUGUGCUGCCAUGGCGUAGCUCCACCUUGCGCUCCUCAAUCGAAAUCUCUUUGUGUAGGUAAUUCCGCCCUCUUUUUACAUGUUUCAUCUGCUGCUUGGCUUCUCAUCCAUGACUAGAAUUAUCUUUUGCUUGCUUCAGCUACAGGCGGGGAUCGAUGUUCCGAUUUAUCAGUGCUUGGCUACAGGUGGUGCUCCGGUAUAUCGCCGCAUGGCUUCAGGCGGCGGCGGCCGCGGCGUCGGCAGCGGCGGAUAAACUGGAUGCUGCGUCGCUCUCGCUUCAGGGGACGGCGGCGAUGGAUUUUCCUGCUACUGUUUCGCUUGGCCCCCUCCACCGGCAGCUCCAUUCAUUCAGGGCCGCCAAGAACAAUCUCCCAAACGGGGUUAGCGAGGGCCAGGUCCGGCGCCUCGAAGAAGAUCUGGAGACACUGUUCACCGAGCUCAAGAUCGUGUCGGAGGCGGACGACCCCAGCUUCACGGCAAGGUGCUGGAUGAAGGAGGUGCGGGAGCUCCGCUACGACGCAGAGGACUUCUUCAACGAGGUCCCGCGCUCCUCCCCCGGCGCCGGCAGAAGCGCUCUUCACACCCUCAUUCUUUCAAUCCCCAGAAAACUGAAGCGGCGGCGCCAGGUUGCAGAAGCUUUCUCAGAUCUGUGUGCUCGUGCCAAGGAUGCGAGUCAAAGACGCCAAAGUUUCCAGCUUGGACCAGCAACCAUCAAACCUGAAUUUGGACAAGUCAAUGUCAGCCGCUCCAAGAGCCUCGGACUUAUUGGCCUUGAGGAGUCCAUGGAUAAGCUUGUCAAGCUGCUGGCUUUGGACGACCAAGAGAUUGCAGAGCUGCUGGCUUUUGACAGUGAAGAUACAGAGCAACUAGUUCAGGUGGUACCCAUCUUUGGAUCUGCAGGUGUUGGCAAAACAACACUUGCCAGAACCUUCUAUCGGAACUUCGGGGGGAAAUUCCAGUGCCGGGCUUUCGUGCGGGUAUCUCGAAAUCCAGAUAUGAGGAGGAUACUUUCCAGCAUGCUCUCACAAAUUAAGGCGCCACCGGUUCAUGGCUUUCCUGAUGUGCAGGACCUUAUUGACCAUGUCAGAGAAUAUCUGCAAUGCAAAAGAUACUUGAUUAUAAUUGAUGACUUGUGGGCCUCCUCGACAUGGGAUAUUAUUAGCCGUGCUUUUCCUGAUGGUGAUUGUUGCAGCAGAAUAAUAGUAACCACGGAAAUCAAGGAUGUAGCAUUGGGAUGCAGUAGGUAUCAGUUUAAGUACAUGUAUGAGAUGAGUCCUCUUAAUGGUGAUCAGUCAAGACAGUUAUUCCUCGGUAGAGUUUUUGGGUCUGAAAAUGGUUGUCCUCCAGAUUUCAAAGAAGUUACAUAUGAGAUUAUUCGAAAAUGUGGAGGUUUACCAUUAGCAACUGAAAAUAUAGCCAGCAUGUUAGCAUGUGAAUUAAACUUUGAUCAAUGGAAGCACAUACGAGAUUCUUUACCCUCUGUUUUGAGAUUGAGGACAGACCCUAGUUCGGAAGGGUUGAAAGAAGUUCUGAACAUUAUUUAUGACAAUCUUUCACCAUAUUUGAAGACAUGCUUGCUAUAUCUUAUUAUGUAUCCAGAGGGAAGCACUAUCAGCAAGGACGAAUUAGUGACACAAUGGGUAAUUGAAGAUUUUAUCGGCGAAGGGCAAGACAGGGAGAAAAUUGCACGGUAUUACUUUGAUGACCUUGUGAGUAGAGGAAUGAUCCAACCUGUUGAUAGAAAUUAUAACGAUGAGGUGUUGACAUGUCUUCCUGACAAGGUUCGUCGACUGUCUGUCCAGUUCGGUGGUGCAAAAUGUGCAAAUAUACCGGCAGACUUUAUGAUGACUCAAGUUAGAUCGCUUAUAUUUUUUGGCUUCUUGAACUGUGUACCUUCCUUUGUGGAAUAUAAGCUGCUUCGAGUUCUGAUUCUUCAUAUCUGGGCUGAUCAAAGCAAAAUAUUUGACCUCACUAGAAUUAGCGAACUGUUUCAGCUGAGGUAUCUGAAAAUUGAUUGCAACAUCACUGUCCAUUUGCCAGAUGAGAUUCAGCAGCUACGAUUCUUGGAGACAUUAGAAUUGCAUGCACCAGUAAGUGAUAUGCCAUCGGAUAUUAGUUGCUUGCCCUUACUUCGCACUCUGGGCUAUUUUGAUCUCGGCAAGAACUCAAUAGAGAAUGUACAGAGCCUUGGCGAGCUGAACAAUCUCCAAGACCUUCAUCUCACCUGGUCUAACAUAGCAGACCCUGACAACCUGAAGAACAAUAUGCAAUGCCUGGGCUCAAUUCUCCGGAAACUCAGCAACCUCAAGUCUUUAACUCUAGUACGUGCAGCCUCCUCUCAUCCAGAUGUUUUAGACGAUGCUGGUGGUGCAAUCUUGGGUAUUACUGGCGAUGUCUUGAGCAGCGUGUCCUCUCCCCCACCCCUUCUUCAGAGGCUUGAGCUGUCGGGGCGCUGUUGCAUCUUUGCCAGCCUACCCGAGUGGACCAAAGAACUUGGCAAUCUCUGCAUUUUGAAGAUUUCAGUUAGGAAGUUGUUGAGGAAAGAUAUUGAUAUCCUCAAAGGAUUGCCAGCCCUCAUGGCUCUCUCGCUGUACGUUUGGACUGCCCCUGUAGGAAAGGUCGUCUUUGAUAGUGAGGGGUUCUCAAUUCUCAAAUACUUCAGGUUUACAUGUGCUGCCCCAUGCCUGGCAUUUCUGAUAGGAUCAAUGCCUAGUGUCCGGGAGCUUAAGCUAGCAUUCAAUGCUAAUAGAAUGGAGCAAUACAGCCAGAUAGUUGCUGGCUUAGAGUACCUGAUAGAACUUAAAGAGAUAACUGCAAAAGUUGGGGGCACUGGUGCGGAUGAAUCUGAUAAAAGGUACGCGGUGUCGGCAUUGAGUGGCGCCAUUGCCAAUCAUCCAUGCUCUCCUAUAAUCACAGUACAAUGUGUAGAUCGGAUUUUGUAUGGUGAGGACGAUACGAGUGCCGUCACACAAGAACAAGAACACUGGACUCUGGAAGAAGAACAUGAGAUGCAAGAGGAAUCGCUUGAUCCUCUUCCUGAACUUGUUCCCAUUCCAAGCACACAAACACAAAUGAGAGAUGGAAGCCAGAAUGGAGGAACAGAUAGCUCAAGGGAGGUGCUGACACAAACAAGAGAGGGAGUUCAGGAUGAAUUAAUAGAAAGAUCGAUGGAGGUCCUGACAUAUGAACAGGAACAUGUAACUCUGGAAAGACAACACGAGAUUCAUGAGGAAUUGCUUGAUCCUCUUCCUGAAGUUCUUUCAACUUCAAGCACACAGACACAAGUGAGAGAGGAAGUGCGGGAUGGAGAAAUAGAGAGAUCAAUGGAGGUGCUGACACAAGAGCAAGAACAGCAUACCCUGGAACAACAAGAUGAUAUGACAGACAGAGUGCUGAAUGUACAAAUAGGGACAUUGAUGGAGGUGCUAGCACAAGAAGAACAAUGGCGCAAUAAUAUGCAGAAUAGUGGAAUCGGGAAAUCGAUGGCGGUGGUGAGCGCUUCCCAUGGCACCUUGGACCCCCUACUGGACAAGCUCAAUGCUUUGCUCGCCGAGGAGUAUGGCAACUUGGAAGGUGUCCUCCAUGAAGUCAGUGCCCUCAAAUCUGAGCUGACAUUGAUGCAUACGGCGGUGAGAAAGUACACGAUGCUAGAAGAUCCAGAUGUCCAGGUGAAGUUAUGGCUAUCGUUGCUGAGGGAGUUCUCCUAUGAUGCAGAGGAUUACAUUGAUAAGUUCAUUCACCAGCUCGACAAUGGCGGACAUCAUGGCGGAUUCAAGCAGAUCUUCGGCAAGACUGCUUGCCAGCUGAAGACGCUUGGAUCUCAGCAUGAAAUUGCAGAAAAAAUCGAUGAGCUGAAAGAUCGUGCCAAGAACUUGAAAGCGAGUAGUUACAAGAUGGAUGAUACUGCUUGCAUCACAUCUUGCCAUUCCACCGUGGAUCCCCAGUUGGCUGCUCUUUUUGUUGAUUCUGCACACCUUGUGGGCAUUGACAGUCCAAGAGAUGAUCUUGCCAAGUGGACGGUCGAAGUAGGAAACAGCUCAGCCAAGCAUCAUUGCAGGAUGUUAUCUAUUGUUGGGUUUGGCGGAUUGGGAAAGACAACACUAGCGAAUGAGGUGUAUCGCAAGGCUAAAGGGCAUUUCCAUUGUCAGGCUUUUGUAUCAGUCUCACAAAAGCCGGAUAUAAAGAAAAUUCUCAUGAACUUGAUCUCCCAAGUGUCUCCCCAUGGAUUCACGAAAGAUACUUACAAUUGGGACAAAAUGAGAUUAAUUAGAGAGCUAAGAGAACUGCUAAAGGAUAAGAGGUAUCUUGUUGUCAUUGAUGAUAUAUGGUCCAUAUCGGCAUGGAACAUUAUCAAGUGUGCUUUUCCAGAGAAUAACUGUUCUAGCAGAGUUAUAACUACUACACGCAUUAUUGAAGUUGCAAGGUCAUGUUGUAUGGGUCAAGAUGACCGCAUGUAUGAAAUGCAACCCUUGAGUGAUUUUCAUUCUAAAAGAUUGUUCUUGAGAAGAAUUUUUGGGUCCAAGGAUAGUCCCGAUAUGCUGGAAGAAGUUUCAAAUGAAAUUUUGAAAAAAUGUGGAGGCCUACCAUUGGCAAUUAUCAGUGUAUCUAGUUUAUUGGCAAAUAGGCCAGCUAACAAAGAGGAGUGGGAAAAAGUUAGUGCAUUGGACAAAGACAUAGGUCUAGAGGAAAUGAACAGAAUACUAUGCCUUAGCUACAAUGCUCUUCCAGAUAAUCUCAAGACUUGUUUGUUGUAUUUAAGUAAUUUUCCUGAGGGCUGUGUGAUUGAGAGAGAGAGAUUAGUGAGGCGGUGGAUAGCAGAAGGCUUUAUCUCUGAAAAUCAUGGGCAGAGUCAGCAAGAGGUCGCAGAGUGGUAUUUCUAUGAGCUUAUCAAUAGAAGUAUGAUUCAAGCAGUGGACAUCUGCUAUGAUGGUAAGGCUCGUGCAUGUCGAGUCCAUAAUAUGAUGCUUGAACUCAUCAUUUCGAAGUCAGCUGAGGAUAAUUUUGUCAUGGUGAUUCGUAGCAGGCAGACUGGUUUGGUAAAUCGCCAUGGUUGUAUUCGACGGCUAUCAGUCCAGCACAUUGACCAGAAUAUUGCAUCUGUAUUGGCAAAUGAAGAUCUAAGCCAUGUUCGCUCUUUAACAGUAACAUCAUCAAGUUGCAUCGAACACUUGCCUAGUCUUGCUUGCUUUGAAAAUUUGCGUGUACUAGAUUUUGAAGGGUGUGAUGGAUUGGAAAAGUAUCACAUGAAGGGUCUUGGCAAGUUUUUCCAACUAAAGUACCUGAGCCUUAGGGGCACUUGGAUAUCACAUCUACCAUCAGAAGUUGUGAUGUUACGUAAUCUAGAGACCCUAGAUAUUAGGGAGACACAUGUAGAAGAGUUGCCUGCUGAAAUUGUCCACCUUACGAAGCUACAACAUCUUAUCGCUUCAACAGAUUAUGUAAUGCCUGGAAUAAAGAUACCAGAUGGAAUCGGGAAUAUGAGGAACUUACGGGUAUUGUUGGGCUGUGGUAUCAGCUCGGGUUCUGUUGGUGCACUAGAGGAGCUCGGUAACUUGACCAAUUUGAAUGAGCUCGAUGUACAGUAUUGGGGAAUAGGAUCCGAGUACAAGAGGCAUGAAGACAGGUUCCUCUCCUCAUUAAUCAAGCUUGGUAGCUGCAAGCUACAGUCUUUUAGGAUAUGGAGGAAGUGCCCUGGUGAUGUCAAGUUCUUAGAAUCAUGGCUCCCUCCGCCAUUUUCCCUCCAAAGAUUUGAGAUGAGUGGCUGCUACAGUUUCAAGUGGAUUCCAUGCUGGAUUUCACCAGCACUGACCAGUCUUGCAUACCUAGAAAUUAAUAUAGUGGAAGUAACGCAGACGGAUCUGUGCAUACUUGGAGAGAUGCCUGCCUUGCUUCACCUGGGGCUAACAUGCCAGACUUUCAGAAAAGAAAGGCUUAUUUUUUACAGCAGAGGAUUCCAGCAUUUGAAGGAAUUUGUGUAUGAUGUUUCUGUAUUGCCAUCGGGAAACCUUCUGUUUAUGGAAGGGGCACUGCCAAUGCUUGAGGAUCUUAGCCUAAUCUACUGUGUAUCAAUGGUUAAUGCCUAUGGGUUUUUCCUGGGUAUCGAGCACCUCCCAAGACUCAAAAAUGCACAAGUUCGCCUCUACAAACAGGGCGCGGCAUCUUCUGAUAUCGCUUCCGCAGAAGUUACUAUCAGGAAUGAAGCAGAUGACAAUCCCAACCGUCCCAGAGUAACUCUGGUGGAACAUGUAAAGAGAGAGGAUUAUUGCUCCGACGGUUGUCCUAACAGAACCGUGGCAGUUGAAGGACUAGAUGCCAAUACAACUAACCAGAAGGGUGGAUCUCGAAAGACAACAAAUCAAACUACAAAUCGUUGAGAAGCCUAUUUCUCAGCCGCGUGUCUUACCCUUUUUAGGGAACUUAUUAAAUUCAUGAAGAACUACAAGUGGGAGGUGGCGAGCUGCGCUCGCUCGCCUGGAACGCUCGGACAAAGCCUGGGAUGAAGCAGAUGACAAUCCCAACCGUCCCGGAGCAACUCUGGUAGAACAUGCCAAGAGAGAGGAUUAUUGCUCUGGCUAAUGAAUGUUCUAACGCAACUGUGACAGAGUUCUGCUGACAAAUCCAGAAUUAGUUGCCAAUACAACAACUAAGCAAAAGGAACUUAAAUUCAUGAAGUACACUGCUAGUGAGAACUGGCGCGCUGCUGCCCGCUCAACUGGAACGCUGUGGUGAAGCCUGGAACGCUCGAGCAAAGGGGCCGGCCCCGGAUGGAGGGGUCAGUCAUAAAUGCUACUCCCUCCGUCCCAUAAUGUGACCCUAGUGUCAAAAAACGUCUUACAUUAUUGAGACGGAGGGAGUAUUUUCUAUGUGAUACUAUGAGAAUUUUGUUGUUGUUGAACUCUGUAUCCUAUUGUUUUCACUGAUUAAGAAUUAAGCUUGCCUCUUGGGUUGGAGCCUUGGUCUUAUUUACUGGAGUAUUUCCUUUUUGUGUGUGUUGUAAGCUUAUCCAACGACUUUUAUCAACCGAAGAGGUGGAAAUGUACAGGAGAUGCAGGCUCUUCAUGGACCCUGCAUGCAUGCUUCUUUACAUCUCCUCUUGUGGCAUUUGCAGCAAGGAAGGCCGGCCAUCUGAAUUUACAACAUUCUCUGGUGCACUUUUACACUAUGAAUUGUUGUCAAACUGUUGAUUAAGCAUGGGAUUGCAAAAGACUCUGAAUGUUGCCUCGUGUAUUGAAAAUGUGUAUAGGCCAGCUAUUGCACGGUUGGUUUAUAUGGUGUAAUAUGUAUUUCGUGAUUUACUUCAUGAGUUAGAC
This 7338-nucleotide ribosomal RNA is filed under the name Triticum aestivum (bread wheat). Its description in RNAcentral is "partial small subunit ribosomal RNA". Lineage: Eukaryota; Viridiplantae; Streptophyta; Magnoliopsida; Poales; Poaceae. The record is from RNAcentral.